UUAACACAUGCAAGUCGAGGGGCAGCAUGGUCUUAGCUUGCUAAGGCUGAUGGCGACCGGCGCACGGGUGAGUAACACGUAUCCAACCUGCCGUCUACUCUUGGCCAGCCUUCUGAAAGGAAGAUUAAUCCAGGAUGGGAUCAUGAGUUCACAUGUCCGCAUGAUUAAAGGUAUUUUCCGGUAGACGAUGGGGAUGCGUUCCAUUAGAUAGUAGGCGGGGUAACGGCCCACCUAGUCAACGAUGGAUAGGGGUUCUGAGAGGAAGGUCCCCCACAUUGGAACUGAGACACGGUCCAAACUCCUACGGGAGGCAGCAGUGGGGAAUAUUGGUCAAUGGGCGAUGGCCUGAACCAGCCAAGUAGCGUGAAGGAUGACUGCCCUAUGGGUUGUAAACUUCUUUUAUAAAGGAAUAAAGUCGGGUAUGCAUACCCGUUUGCAUGUACUUUAUGAAUAAGGAUCGGCUAACUCCGUGCCAGCAGCCGCGGUAAUACGGAGGAUCCGAGCGUUAUCCGGAUUUAUUGGGUUUAAAGGGAGCGUAGAUGGAUGUUUAAGUCAGUUGUGAAAGUUUGCGGCUCAACCGUAAAAUUGCAGUUGAUACUGGAUGUCUUGAGUGCAGUUGAGGCAGGCGGAAUUCGUGGUGUAGCGGUGAAAUGCUUAGAUAUCACGAAGAACUCCGAUUGCGAAGGCAGCCUGCUAAGCUGCAACUGACA
RNAcentral lists this ribosomal RNA (710 nucleotides) under uncultured Bacteroidales bacterium. Its description in RNAcentral is "bacterial SSU rRNA". It matches the Rfam family "Bacterial small subunit ribosomal RNA", at positions 48 to 745 of the family's 1533-position model. The record is from RNAcentral. Lineage: Bacteria; Pseudomonadati; Bacteroidota; Bacteroidia; Bacteroidales.